Molecule: non-coding RNA, 91 nt
Organism: Phyllosticta capitalensis
Lineage: Eukaryota; Fungi; Ascomycota; Dothideomycetes; Botryosphaeriales; Phyllostictaceae
Source: the annotation of a GenBank genome assembly
GCAGCGAUAGCUCAGCGGCAGAGCGCAGGAUUGCAGUGACCACAACACAGCAGUUAUCCCGAGGUCCCCGGUUCAAUCCCGGGUCGUUGCU